This 1467-nucleotide ribosomal RNA is filed under the name Triticum aestivum (bread wheat). RNAcentral's name for it is "partial small subunit ribosomal RNA". The record is from RNAcentral. Lineage: Eukaryota; Viridiplantae; Streptophyta; Magnoliopsida; Poales; Poaceae.
AUGGUUAUAGUCACAACUCGGAUUCCAGGGGUAGCAAACAUGGUCCGGACAGUUGACCAUUCUAUAGAAAUGGAACAUCUAGGUCCUGAAGAUAUUUUGUCUUUCUUUGAAGUAUGUGUAUUUGGGGACCAACAACAACCAUGGCAAGAUCAUCCUGAAUUAGAAGAUGUUGGGCACAAAAUAGUGGAUAAAUUGAAGGGUUUCCCUCUUGCUGCAAAAACUGUGGGUAGAUUGCUCAGAAACCAGCUCACAUUUGACCAUUGGACAAGAAUUUUGGAAAGUAAAGAGUGGGAGUCACAAGCUAGCGAUAAUGACAUUAUGCCAGCCCUCAAGCUUAGCUAUGAUUAUCUCCCUUUCCAUCUGCAACAGUGUCUUUCCUACUGUGCAUUGUUUCCUGAAGAUUAUGAAUUUCAUGCAGAAGAGUUGGUUCAUCUGUGGAUUGGACUUGGUAUUUUACACUCUGAUGAUCAGAAGAAAAGAAUUGAAGAUGUUGGAUUGUGUUACUUAACUGACUUGGUUAAUCAGGGGUUUUUCAAAAAGAAUGUAUCAAGCUUUGGCAGUCCUUGUUACACCAUCCAUGAUCUAUUACUUGAGUUGGUAGUGAAGGUCUCAUCAUAUGAGUGCCUUAGCAUAUCCAGCUCUAAUGUGAUGUCCAUACAAAUUCCCCCAUAUGUACGUCAUUUGUCUAUCAUUGUAGAUGAUGCAGACGUCAAGGACACAAUGACUUUUGAAAACUACAAGAGGGGUUUGCAGGCAUUGGAAAAAAGAUUUGAAGUUCAAAACCUACACACCUUGAUGUUAUUUGGAGAAUACCAUGCAAAUUUUUCAAGGGUUUUUCAUGGUUUGUUUUUGGAAGCUAGGGCCCUUCGUACUGUCUUUUUGUCUGGAGCAUCAUAUAAUGUGGAGGAUGUGUUUCCCAACUUUUUAAAGCUUGUUCAUCUUUGCUACUUAAGAAUCAAGUCAGCUGGUCUUGAUGAUGACGAAGGCUUGUGCAUAUCUAGUGUGUUGUGCAGAUUUUAUCAUUUGGAAGUCAUUGAUCUACAAGGAUGGAAGGGCCGCUUCAGUUCAACAAGAUAUAUGAGCAACCUUGUAAAAUUGCGCCAUUUCAUUGUGCCCCGAGAAGAACUUCACUCUGACAUAUUUGAGGUGGGAAGACUAAAAUUCAUCAAUGAGUUAAGGGCAUUUAGAGUGACACAAGAAGAUAACGUGUUUGAACUGAGUCAACUAGGGAAACUGGCAAAUAUUGGAGGAUUACUUGGUAUUUACAAUCUUGAAAAGGUGCAUUCAGAAGAAGAAGCAACUGAAUCAAAACUGAUAAACAAAAGCCACAUGAAAGAGCUAAUACUAGGAUGGGAUGUUCGGCGAUCUAACAGGGAUCCUAAAUUUGAAGAAAAUAUCCUUGAAAGUCUUGUACCACACAUCAAUCUUCAAUUACCGAAAAAGGCUUUCGCCCCGCUUUAUAGAUAA